AUGAUUCUCUUAUACCCACAUUUCAGGCUCACAAAACCCAAUGAGACACUUCCCCAUGAGGUCUGGAGAGGACAGGGGAGUUCCCUGAACACACAGAUGAUCCAUGACAGAGCCACCAUGCCAGCUCAGUUAUUUGGACCCCCGUUUCAAUGCUCAUCUCUUCUCAAUGUGCUCUGCUUUCAGAUCACUGGGAUGUUCAUCUUUGGUGGGAUACUCUUCGCAUACUUGGUUACCCUUGUGACUACUUCAAGAUGCCAGCGAACUUAUCAAACUCCUCGAAGGCAUCAUACUCAUCAAACUUAUCAACAUCAUCAAACUCCUAAAACUCCUCAAACUCCUCAGCCUGCAACGGUGAGUCCUGAGGCUAAUCUGCGGGUGGGAAGAUGUUCCAAAGAGGAUGGAGUUGAGGGGGGCUUCAUCUUUCUGCCCAGGGGCAGAAAGAAUCCUGUGGGGUGUCUAUGGACCUGCACACAUGCCCUCCUUCUCCUACCCAAUAAGCACACCUCUAUCUGCCUGUGUCUUCCAGGUGAACGUGUUGUAUGCACCAGCUCUCAAUAUGCUGGAUUAAAAGUCCUCCUCUUUCCGAGCUUCCACACCCCAGGCUCCUCCCUUCUGGAUAAACCAAGGAAAAUGUCUCUCCAAAUGCUUGCAAUCUGGACUUCAUGCUUCCUUUCAGCCUGGUAAAUCCCUCUAUUAAUAUACUGGCGCAUUUGUAUGUGCGUGCAGCAUUCACACCCAUGUAUUAUAAUGCUCACACCAGAGGGCUUCCCUGCAUGACAGCCUAUAGGGCUUCACUCGCUCAAUUGUUAAUUCAUCUAAUAAAUAUGUGCUAAACACUUGGCA
This 843-nucleotide long non-coding RNA is filed under the name Oryctolagus cuniculus (rabbit). RNAcentral's name for it is "lncRNA (ENSOCUG00000037025.1)". The record is from RNAcentral. Lineage: Eukaryota; Metazoa; Chordata; Mammalia; Lagomorpha; Leporidae.